Non-coding RNA from Camellia sinensis, 165 nucleotides. NCBI's taxonomy places the organism in Eukaryota, Viridiplantae, Streptophyta, Magnoliopsida, Ericales, Theaceae. The record is from RefSeq and is a predicted model, not a curated record.
GGAUCAUUGUCUGGCCGAUUUGUUGCAUGGAUGGCAGGAUGGAAGACUUCCGGUGGAUAUAACUUGCAUAAUAAGCAAUCAUGAUAGAGGACCAAACACCCAUGUGAUUCGAUUUCUUGAAAGGCAUGGGAUCCCCUAUCAUUAUUUGCACACAACUAAAGGGAA